ACGACGUUGAUAGGCCGGGUGUGUAAGCGCAGCGAUGCGUUGAGCUAACCGGUACUAAUGAACCGUGAGACUUAACCUUACAACGCCGAAGGUGUUU
RNAcentral lists this ribosomal RNA (97 nucleotides) under Escherichia coli. Its description in RNAcentral is "partial 23S ribosomal RNA". The stretch from base 1 to 79 matches the Rfam family "Bacterial large subunit ribosomal RNA", at positions 2847 to 2925 of the family's 2925-position model. The record is from RNAcentral. Lineage: Bacteria; Pseudomonadati; Pseudomonadota; Gammaproteobacteria; Enterobacterales; Enterobacteriaceae.